Molecule: ribosomal RNA, 815 nt
Filed under: uncultured bacterium
Lineage: Bacteria
Description: bacterial SSU rRNA
Rfam family: Bacterial small subunit ribosomal RNA
Source: RNAcentral
AGAGUUUGAUCCUGGCUCAGGACGAACGCUGGCGGCGUGCUUAACACAUGCAAGUCGAGCGGAAAGGCCCUUCGGGGUACUCGAGCGGCGAACGGGUGAGUAACACGUGAGUAACCUGCCCCUGACUCUGGGAUAAGCCUGGGAAACCGGGUCUAAUACCGGAUAUGACACUCCUCCGCAUGGUGUGGGUGUGGAAAGUUUUUUCGGUUGGGGAUGGGCUCGCGGCCUAUCAGCUUGUUGGUGGGGUGAUGGCCUACCAAGGCGACGACGGGUAGCCGGCCUGAGAGGGCGACCGGCCACACUGGGACUGAGACACGGCCCAGACUCCUACGGGAGGCAGCAGUGGGGAAUAUUGCGCAAUGGGCGGAAGCCUGACGCAGCGACGCCGCGUGGGGGAUGACGGCCUUCGGGUUGUAAACCUCUUUCAGCAGGGACGAAGUUGACGUGUACCUGUAGAAGAAGCGCCGGCUAACUACGUGCCAGCAGCCGCGGUAAUACGUAGGGCGCGAGCGUUGUCCGGAAUUAUUGGGCGUAAAGAGCUCGUAGGUGGCUUGUUGCGUCUGCCGUGAAAGCCCGUGGCUUAACUACGGGUCUGCGGUGGAUACGGGCAGGCUAGAGGCUGGCAGGGGCAAGCGGAAUUCCUGGUGUAGCGGUGAAAUGCGCAGAUAUCAGGAGGAACACCGGUGGCGAAGGCGGCUUGCUGGGCCAGUUCUGACGCUGAGGAGCGAAAGCGUGGGGAGCGAACAGGAUUAGAUACCCUGGUAGUCCACGCUGUAAACGUUGGGCGCUAGGUGUGGGGGUCUUCCACGAUUCCU